CUAAAAAUGCAAUUAUUUGUUUACAUAUAAAAAUCAUUUUAUUGUUUCCUUAUUUCUCCAAAACUCAUUACAAUAUGUAUGUAAUGUCUCUUAUAAUAAAGUAAACACAUACAAUAUUUGUUGAUUUUAUGGUCUAGUAACUUGUAUUAGUGUUAUUACCAAAUUAUGACAGCAAUGUUCUUUGGGCUCAUUAAAAAAAAAAACAUAAACAAUUUUAUGAAAGGUACAAUAAAUAUAACGUAAAAUGUGGUAAAAUUUAUAUACAUUUUAAAUAUUUGAUUUUACUAUCACAAUAAAUUAAUUUAUAACACACAGUAAAAAUUAUAAUCUUACUUUUUUCCAUAACCUUGUUUUAAUAGAAGAAAAUAUAUGCUUAGUUUAGUUAAUUAUUAUCAAAUAAGUAAAAUAAAUGAAGGGUUUCAAAAAUGGCUUUGCGUGAUAGAGCCGUUAAACAUGUACAACGGUUAGAAAGCAAUCUGCGCCGUCUAUAAAUUCAGAAACUCCAAAAUCUAUCUUCAUUCUUCUUCACCUUCCCCAAGUUCAAAUUCAUCUCCGAGGAAACAAAUCAAACAAUCAUAACGUUUCUUUCGAAUACAAGAGAGAUGAAAGCAGAAGCAGAAACAGAGUCUUCCACAACGUUUCUUCUCCUCUGAGGUAAGUCUUUGGUAAAGCUUUGAUUUUUCUUUAUGGGUUCCCAAAUUUGAUUGUGAAUACAGAACACGAGAAAGAGAGAUCGUACCAGAAACAGAGUCAAAUCUCUCAACGUUUCUUUCUUGUGCGGUAAGUCUUUCGUAAAGCUUUGAUUUUUCUUUAUGGGUUUUGGAAUCGAUUGUUAAUAAAUUAGGAAUCUGAUUCAAUGGCUCUUCGUUUUAGGGUUCUUUAAAAGAUGAUUUUUUUUAUAGGAUCAGAACAUGAUCUUUUUAAGACAUAGACAAGCUUUGCAUAAUCAAAACAGAGCUUUUCAAAAGCUCUGUUUUGUUGUCAGGUCUUGUUUUAGACAUUCUAUACUAAAGAUCGAAUCUAUUUGCAUAAUCAAACAACUUUGAUUUUUCCCAAAUCGAUCGUCGUAUUUGGGUUGGUAGAAUUUGAUCUUUGUAUUAGGGUUUUAUAGGAUCAGAACAUGAUCUUUAGAUAUAGACGAGUCUUGUUUGUGUUGUAUGAAUUACUAGUUUGGUUCAAAAUUUCUUAUGAUUUAAGCCUAGACAAGGUUACCCAUGAUCGGCUCGGUUCCUAGCUCUGUUUUGUUGUCAGGUAAUGUUUUCAGACAUUAUAUACUAAAGAUUGAAUCUUUUUGCAUAAUCAAACAACUUUAGUGUCUUGAUCUUCACUUCAAACAUUGGUCCAUUACUGUGGGAAGCAACAGCUAUAGUGAUGCAAAAAUGCUUCCACCUUCUCAGAAUCACUUCUGUUUUACAAGCUUUGAUCACUUCUGAUCUAAUGUGUUUGUCUGACUAGACAAGAUAGAGGAAGGUGGUUUUGUUGGGUUUCUUGGAGAGUGUAGCAUUAUAACCCUUUUUCUAGAUCUGAUCUAGUAUCUCACUCUAGUCUAGCUCCUACUAGAUGACUCUCUUCUUACUCAUUACAAGUUUCUGUUUUGAAACCCUCUCUUCAUAACAUCUUUUAAGGUGUUAAGAAGAUAACUUUUAUAGAAUCCAAAGAUGAUUCUUGGAUCUGUUAAAGCUUAGAUGAGCCUUUGGUGCUCAUCUAUGAUUUGCUUUAUCUGUAGUUAAUAUAUUUUGCUUUGUUUAACAUGUCUUUGUCUUCACUGCUUGUCUUUGUUCAUCUAUGUUUGCGUUUUUAUGAUUUGUUUGUUGUCCAAGACUUUAAAGCUGAUCUUGAGUUGCUUUGUCUGUAGUUAAUAUGUUUUGUAUUUGUCUAACAUGUCUUUGUCUUCACUGCUUGUUGAGCUUGAGUUUAAGCCUUCUAGGUUUUGCUGUAACUAUACCCUAAGCCAAACGAGUAUCUUUACUUGAGACUGACUUACAAGUUACAACAAUGUUAUAUAUGUUAAUCCUAUUGUCUCCAAACUAGUUGGGGACAAUUGUAUUUAGAUUUACAGUUUCAUUUUCUGCUAAAAGAAAACAAAAAAAGAGAUUCAUAGAACAAAAUGAAUCCAAGAAGGCAAUUUUUUACAGCGACAUUCACAAAGAAAGGUCUUCUAGUUUUUCCUCUUGAGUACAAUUCUGGAGAGCUCCUGAUAGACUAACUUCAUGUCUGGCCUUUCUGGUGCUGGUGAGAUACAGCUCAGAGGCACUCCUUGAGCUCUGCGACUCAAUAAUGGAUGGAUCAAAACACUCAGCCGCACGGUUUUGUCCCACAAGCAGUAGAACCCAUUCUGUGAGUUCAACAACCCCUGGAUCACUGCAAACUAUAUAUCUCCUGACACUUCUCCUGUUAGAAGCUCUAACAAAAUGACCCCAAAAGGAAAACACAUCGCUUUUCAGAGAAGGGUAUGGUUUACUCAGCUGGCAAACUCUAGAGGGCAGUAGCCAAGAGCGGCUGCAUUCAAGACUUGCUCUGAUGUGGCUUCUGGUGUCAUUAACCGGUGAAGACUGUAAUAUGUUAGGUAGGCAGUGAGUUCAGGAGGUUUCAGGAGAAUAUUAGUUGAUUUUAAAUUCCCAUGUGGAAUUGCUUCCUCGUUGUGUAUGUCAAGAGUAAUUUUAAGACGUUUAUCCACCAACAAUGGUGGUAGGCAUUAACAGUCCAGCCUCUGCAGACAACAAAGAAUGAGUAAAUCAUCUUUGCCAUGUACACUUGACAGCAAUGUACUUGGGGAUCAUUUCCAGGAGACUUUCUUUCAUAUUAUCUAAUCAGAAUCUACCACCUAAUGAAAGCUAACAAAAACAAAUAAAAUAAAAUUUUGAAUAUCAUCUAUAUUAAAAACACUAAUAGUAUACCACUGAAUUUUUAUUUUACAAGGUUUUAUGUUGGAUGUUGACAAAAAUAAAAAGGUUAGGGCAUAUGCAACGACGUUCUUUGUCGCCGUCCCACCCAUUUUAAAAAAAAAAAAAUCAAAAAAGAAAGAAAUGAAGGACGUUUCCAAAAUCGCUACGGUCAUGCGCUUCUUUCUUCAUUAUUCGCGGGCUCAACUGACACGUGGCGGCGCGCGAUUGGUGAUUUUUUUUUCUGUUUUAAUGAAAAUUAAAAAAAAUUUAGGAGACGAAUUAAACCGAUGCACAUGGUCUUAUAUGUCAGUUUUAAGUUUGUUAAGAGCUUCAUAGAGUAUAAAUUUACAAAUUAAACGAUUUUACAUACAUCGAUAGUCGACUAACCUUGCUAAGAGAACACUUACAUUAUCAUCUAAAGUAGUAAUGAUAUAUUUCAUAAUUGAUAUGACAAAAUGAAAAGAUAUACCCAUUGUAUCUCUCCAUUCUCUAUUAUUCCCCCACCUCUACGUUACAAUACACAUUGAUUCAAAUAUACACAAACCAACACUUUGAUAUAUAUACAAUGAGAAAAUACUAUACGUACAUGCAUGUAGAGUAAAGAGGUAGACGAUGACUAAGCAUAUUAGAGCUAUAAGAGUGAUUUUGUUAUGAUGAUUCUUGUUUUAUAUAAUAGAUAGGUUACUACACGUUCUUCUUUUUGGUAUCUAGUGUCUUAAGAAACGUAGCGUUACUCUCGUUAACUCCAAUAAAUUUUACUAAUUUUGGAAUCGUUAUGAGUUUAAUAAUCUUCUUCCAUUCAAAUUCUUAAAAUUUCCUAAUUUAGUAAAUACUGUUUAUAGCUUUUCAAUAUCAUCCAUCAUAAGUAGACUUGAAAAUAUGCGAAAAAGAAAACAAAAAAAAAUACCAAAACACAUUUUGUUUUUCCUCAUCAUGGCCAAAACUAUUGUCAUCAAACACAUAACUUUCCUCUUGUCAUUGUUAUUAGUAUUUGAGCUUAUUGCGUUUCCGGUCGUAAAUGCGAUGCUUGCUAAAGACGUGCAAGCAUUUUGCAAAGGGACAAGUGAUGUCAACUUUUGCUUGAAAUAUAUUGGAUCGGACAAACGUAUAUCAGCCGCACGCGAUCUAAACGACGUGCUUUUAAUCGCGGUAACAAUGUGGAUGGUUACAAAAAAAUACUUAAAAUGUUCAUUCUAUAUUUAGAAUUGUGAAAAGUUAAUUAAAUUUUGAGUAAAAUGUUGAUUAGAUAUGCUUUUAAUCGCGGUAACAAUGUGGAUGGUUACAAAAAAUACUCAAAAUGUUCAUUCUAUAUUUAGAAUAGUGAAAAGUUAAUUAAAUUUUGAGUAAAAUGUUGAUUAGAUAUAUAAGAAACAUGCUUCAUUCUUGUUUUCUGAUAUAGAGAGUUCGUUGUUAUCAGUUUUCUCAGUGUAAAACUCAAGUGACCAACGCAGCCAAACAUAUCAGCAAAGUCCGAAAUCGAUUUAGUGGUCCGAUUGGGAAAGAACGGAUCAAAAUUUGCGAAAGAAACUACGGAUUAGCGUCAGGUUUGUUCCAAGAAGCUUAUGAAACUGGACAACAAAAAGUGCUUGCAUACAGAGCUCACUUAGCUGCACAAGGUGGUGUGGAAUAUGUGCGCCAGUGUGAAGAUGAAUGGAAAAAGAAUGGUCCAAUACAAAAGUCUCCUGUCACUUUUUAUAACACAAAUGUUGUUAAAUUAUUUUCUAUAAUUCGUCUUAUUGUCACCAAGCAUAAGACUUAAUUUGUAGAAACGCAAAAUUCGAUUUAGUUAAAGCUUGGUUUAGUUUUACUCAGUUGCUCACAUCUUUGAUAAACUAGGUAUUUAUCGGUUUCUGAUUAUAAUAUUGAUUCUUUUGUAAUAUUUAUUGGUUUAAUGCAUAUAAUUUUCUUGAAUUGUUUUGAUAAAUAAGGAUUAAAAACGAGUUAAACAUUUGAUUUUAAGUUUUAUACAAAUAAUGUGAUUUUAAAUAUAAAGUGAUAAACAAUUAAAAUAACAAAGUCAAAUUACAUUAGAAACAAUUUUGGUUUACAAAAGGGCCUUCUAAGGUGCACGUAGUAAAAAGUCUAUUUAACUUGUUUGAAGUUGGUGUGUUAAAUUGUUAUCUCCAACGAGAAACAUGAGUGAUUCUUGUCGAUUAAAAGUGAUCUUAUGAUGAAAUGAAAGAGCAGAGAAGAUCGUCACUUUAUCUUUUGAAACAGCAAAGAGGAACGCACACAAGAUUUGUUAACCCAGUUUACUGCUUUAACGAGCUGCCACGUUCCGUUUGGAUUAAUAGAUCCACAACUCCACUAUGAAAAAGAUGGUGGGCAUGUUCAUUUGCCUAUCGAUAGCUAGAUUCACUUUUUGUUUAAUAUACUCUCAUAUAAAUAUGUAUUAUAUGAAUUUUACUGGCUAUAGAUAUAUUAGGAAAUAGUUUUGUCAAAAAGAACGAGUCUCAUGCUUUGACAGUCUCAGAUAAUUAAGCAAACUAAAUCGCAAUUAAAGGAGAUCGAUAGCUUAAAAUAGAUAUGUUAUAGUGUGAUAUAUUUUAAACUUCUUAUAUAUAGAUGCUCUUUUUUCCUUUCUUUUCAUUUUCAAAUAAACAAUCAAUUUUUGAAGAAGAAAAAAAAAGUAUUUAUUUAUAUCGUCAAUAAUGAAAAAAUCAUUCUCAUUUACCAUUCUAAUUCUUCUCGUCAUUUCUGUGCUAGAUUUGUAUUUUGAUUUAUAAUCAUUGUUUUUUUCUUUUUUGAACAAAUUUAUAAUCAUUGUUAUAUGUUAUCAUUUAAUUGGUCAUUUUAAAUACAAUAUUAUUAGUUUUACAUAUCAUUUAAAUAUUUUUUAUAUCAUUUGUUUCAUAAUUAAUUUUCACUAUUUAUUUUCAUAAUUAAUUUUCAGUAAUUUUUCCUGUGCUAGAUGCAAUUUCACUAUUUUCACUAUUUUAAAAAAUACAUUUGAUAUCUGUUAUAAAUUUUUUAAUCGCUUUAAAAACUAUAUAUCUUUUUCAAUUUUUUUGUUUAAAACUAAUGUUUCAUGGUUUAUGUAUAAUAGUAACAGGAUUAGAAAAAACACCCAGGAGCCCAACAGAUGGUUGGUGCGCUACUCAGCUACCUGACCAAAAACCCGGUAAAUGUAACCAAGACCGAUGUAACAUUAGGUGUAAGAACACUCGUCAGUUUCAAGUUAAAGGACAAGCGACAGUUGGUACUUGCACAUCUAGUAAUAGAUGUUUAUGCACUUGGCGUUGCAGAUAGCUAAUAAUGAAUGAAAUUAUUUGUUUACAAAUAAAAAUCAUUUUGUUGUUUCCUUAUUUCUCCAAAACUCAUUACAAUAUAUUUAAUGUCUCUUAUAAUAAAGUAAACACAUAUAGUAUUUGUUGAUUUUAUGGUCUAGUGACUUGUAUUAGUGUUAUGUAUUACCAAAUUAUGACAGCAAUGUACUUGGGGCUCAUUUCUAGGAGACUUCCUUUCAUUUUAUCUAAUCAGAAUCUACCACCUAAUGAAAGC
RNAcentral lists this long non-coding RNA (6386 nucleotides) under Capsella rubella. RNAcentral describes it as "long non-coding RNA (CRUB_LNC002330)". Lineage: Eukaryota; Viridiplantae; Streptophyta; Magnoliopsida; Brassicales; Brassicaceae. The record is from RNAcentral.